AACCGGUGGAACCAGCAGGAACCCACCCCUGUGUUGGCAGAUCUGUUUUUUUAUUAUCUUUUCCAGUAUUUUCUCAGGUAUUGAUAUAAGAUUGAUUGGUAUGUAGUUUUCUGGAUCUGUUUUUUCCCCUUUUUUGAAGAUGGGAACCACAUCAGCUCUUUUCCAGUCCUCUGGUAGUUCCCUGGUGCUCCAGGAUUUGUGAAAGAUGUGGUACAGUGGUUGUAAGAUGACAUCUGCCAGCUCCUUUGGAACUCUGGGGUGUAAUCCGUCAGGUCCCAGUGAUAUGUAUUCAUCAAGCUUAGACAGAAGAUCCUUCCUUAGAUACCAUCCAUGGGAUGCUGGUGGCCAAUCUCUGCCACUCUCUGCUCAGGGAUUCCCAAGGUGCCCUACCUUCUAACCAUCAAGAUCCAUUUUGUCCUGGAUGAAAAUAAUUUUCCCUUGGAGAAAGAUUUCCAGCUGCUGGAGUUCCACUUCGACCUCUGAAGCAGCCACUUCUAAUGAGGUUCCCCACUUAAUAUCACAAUCACACAAAAAGUCGUAAAAUGGGGACGUGAAUGGAGGGGGGGGUGUUGUUUGUCUUGGAAUGAAAUUAAUUUUUAUAAAUACAUUUUGUACAAUUUGAAAGCAACGGUUCCUUCAGACGGUUAUUAAAAACUACUCAAAAGAUA
Long non-coding RNA from Thamnophis sirtalis, 668 nucleotides. RefSeq lists it as uncharacterized. NCBI's taxonomy places the organism in Eukaryota, Metazoa, Chordata, Lepidosauria, Squamata, Natricidae. The record is from RefSeq and is a predicted model, not a curated record.